GCGCGGGUAGCCAAGUGGCCAAAGGCGCAGCGCUUAGGACGCUGUCCCAUAGGGGUCCGCCGGUUCGAAUCCGGUCCCGCGCA
This is a transfer RNA of 83 nucleotides. It matches the Rfam family "tRNA". From Rfam's summary of the family: Transfer RNA (tRNA) molecules are approximately 80 nucleotides in length.